UACGGAGGAUCCAAGCGUUAUCCGGAUUCAUUGGGUUUAAAGGGUGCGUAGGCGGAACGAUAAGUCAGUGGUGAAAUCCUGCAGCUUAACUGCAGAACUGCCAUUGAUACUGUCAAUCUUGAGUAUAUUUGAUGUGGGCGGAAUGUGUCAUGUAGCGGUGAAAUGCUUAGAUAUGACACAGAACACCGAUUGCGAAGGCAGCUCACAAAACUAUAACUGACGCUGAGGCACGAAAGCGUGGGUAGUCAAACAGG
This 254-nucleotide ribosomal RNA is filed under the name uncultured bacterium. RNAcentral's name for it is "partial 16S ribosomal RNA". It matches the Rfam family "Bacterial small subunit ribosomal RNA", at positions 524 to 776 of the family's 1533-position model. The record is from RNAcentral.